This is a non-coding RNA of Daphnia pulex (common water flea), 97 nucleotides long. Lineage: Eukaryota; Metazoa; Arthropoda; Branchiopoda; Diplostraca; Daphniidae. The record is from Rfam.
GCCUUCUUAGCUCAGUGGUAGAGCGUCGGUCUCGUAUGUAGAAAAGAUGAAAACGGAAGAAAACCGAAGGUCGAGAGUUCAAUUCUCUCAGAAGGCA